This 30-nucleotide non-coding RNA is filed under the name Mus musculus (house mouse). The record is from RNAcentral. Lineage: Eukaryota; Metazoa; Chordata; Mammalia; Rodentia; Muridae.
UAGAAAUCUCUUUGCCUGUGAUGAGUUUUU